GAUGAACGCUGGCGGCGUGCCUAAUACAUGCAAGUCGAGCGAACGGACGAGAAGCUUGCUUCUCUGAUGUUAGCGGCGGACGGGUGAGUAAAACGUGGAUAACCUACCUAUAAGACUGGGAUAACUUCGGGAAACCGGAGCUAAUACCGGAUAAUAUUUUGAACCGCAUGGUUCAAAAGUGAAAGACGGUCUUGCUGUCACUUAUAGAUGGAUACGCGCUGCAUUAGCUAGUUGGUAAGGUAACGGCUUACCAAGGCAACGAUGCAUAGCCGACCUGAGAGGGUGAUCGGCCACACUGGAACUGAGACACGGUCCAGACUCCUACGGGAGGCAGCAGUAGGGAAUCUUCCGCAAUGGGCGAAAGCCUGACGGAGCAACGCCGCGUGAGUGAUGAAGGUCUUCGGAUCGUAAAACUCUGUUAUUAGGGAAGAACAUAUGUGUAAGUAACUGUGCACAUCUUGACGGUACCUAAUCAGAAAGCCACGGCUAACUACGUG
This 497-nucleotide ribosomal RNA is filed under the name uncultured bacterium. RNAcentral describes it as "partial 16S ribosomal RNA". It matches the Rfam family "Bacterial small subunit ribosomal RNA", at positions 28 to 507 of the family's 1533-position model. The record is from RNAcentral.